GAGGGAAUGACCUGGAGAAGGAAAAUCUGUCUAAAAAGGAGCAGCCAGUAAGGGAGACCGUGAUGAUGACAUUUGGAAGCAUCUCAGGAGACAAGAAUAAAACGCCAUUUUUUUCCCACUUCGCUAACAACUCAGUGUUCUGAAAAGUCUGGAAUGUGCUAUGAAAAGUUUGUGUGCUUAGUGAAAUGUUGUACAAUUGGCCAAUCUGCUAAGUCUUGGGAAAUGUCUUAGGAGCUUGGCAAGAAGAAGUUCUCAAGAGAGCCUGAAUGCUGCCAGUUUCCAAUUGGCCAAGACACAUUACAAGGACAACUGUCUCUCUGAGCAACCUGGCAUUUCCACUCCAAUUGGAAUCUGCAAGGGGAAGAUGUGCAGGGGAAGAAGAUUAAACAAACCUUUUCAGAUUUCUGGUCCAG
This 413-nucleotide long non-coding RNA is filed under the name Pan troglodytes (chimpanzee). RNAcentral's name for it is "long non-coding RNA NONPTRT000366". The record is from RNAcentral. Lineage: Eukaryota; Metazoa; Chordata; Mammalia; Primates; Hominidae.